UAAAACGUAGGGGGCGAGCGUUAUCCGGAAUUACUGGGCGUAAAGGGCGUCUAGGCGGCUUGCUAAGUCUUGUGUGAAAUCUCCCGGCUCAACUGGGAGGGUGCAUGGGAAACUGGCAGGCUUGAGACUCGAAGGGGGGUGCGGAAUUCCCGGUGGAGCGGUGGAAUGCGUUGAUAUCGGGAGGAACACCCGAGGCGAAGGCGGCACCCUGGUCGAGGUCUGACGCUGAAGCGCGACAGCGUGGGGAGCGAACGGGAUUAGAUACCCCGGUAGUCCACGCCGUAAACGAUGACAACUAGGUGUCGGGUGUCCUACGAGGCGCUCGGUGCCGCAGCCAACGCGAUAAGUUGUCCGCCUGGGGAGUACGGCCGCAAGGCUA
This 379-nucleotide ribosomal RNA is filed under the name uncultured bacterium. RNAcentral's name for it is "bacterial SSU rRNA". It matches the Rfam family "Bacterial small subunit ribosomal RNA", at positions 521 to 896 of the family's 1533-position model. The record is from RNAcentral.